GGAACACAGUCGGAAUUUGCCCAGCUCGUGGGGGAUAACGUUAGGAAACUUACUGCUAAUACCGCAUACUGACCGAUAAGGUGAAAGCGGGGGAUCUGUAAGGACCUCGCGCGGAUGGUUAACCGAUGUCGGAUUAAGCUAGUUGGCGGGGUAAGAGCCCACCAAGGCGACGAUCCGUAGCUGGGUCUGAGAAGGAUGAUCAGCCACACUGGGACUGAGACACGGGCCCAGACUCCUACGGGAGGCAGCAGUGGGGAAUCAUUGGACAAUGGGGGCAACCCUGAUCCAGCAAUGCCGCGUGUGUGAAGAAGGCCUUCGGGUUGUAAAGCACUUUUAUCCGGAACGAAACGCGCAGGGUGAAUAUCCUUGCGAACUGACGGUACCGGAGGAAUAAGCACCGGCUAACUUCGUGCCAGCAGCCGCGGUAAUCACGAAGGGUGCAAGCGUUACUCGGAAUUACUGGGCGUAAAGGGUGCGU
RNAcentral lists this ribosomal RNA (478 nucleotides) under uncultured bacterium. Its description in RNAcentral is "bacterial SSU rRNA". It matches the Rfam family "Bacterial small subunit ribosomal RNA", at positions 110 to 572 of the family's 1533-position model. The record is from RNAcentral.